GAUGAACGCUGGCGGCGUGCUUAACACAUGCAAGUCGAACGAUGAAGCCCAGCUUGCUGGGUGGAUUAGUGGCGAACGGGUGAGUAACACGUGAGUAACCUGCCCUUAACUCUGGGAUAAGCCUGGGAAACUGGGUCUAAUACCGGAUAGGAGCGUCCACCGCAUGGUGGGUGUUGGAAAGAUUUAUCGGUUUUGGAUGGACUCGCGGCCUAUCAGCUUGUUGGUGAGGUAAUGGCUCACCAGGGCGACGACGGGUAGCCGGCCUGAGAGGGUGACCGGCCACACUGGGACUGAGACACGGCCCAGACUCCUACGGGAGGCAGCAGUGGGGAAUAUUGCACAAUGGGCGCAAGCCUGAUGCAGCGACGCCGCGUGAGGGAUGACGGCCUUCGGGUUGUAAACCUCUUUCAGUAGGGAAGAAGCGAAAGUGACGGUACCUGCAGAAGAAGCACCGGCUAACUACGUG
Molecule: ribosomal RNA, 466 nt
Filed under: uncultured bacterium
Lineage: Bacteria
Description: partial 16S ribosomal RNA
Rfam family: Bacterial small subunit ribosomal RNA
Source: RNAcentral